UUAGGUAGCAUAAAAAUGGUCCAAACGACUGUUUACCAAAAACACAGGUCUCUGCAAAUCUGUAAAGAGAAGUAUAGGGACUGACACCUGCCCGGUGCUGGAAGGUUAAGAGGAGAUGUUAGUUUAUACGAAGCAUUGAAUUUAAGCCCCAGUAAACGGCGGCCGUAACUAUAACGGUCCUAAGGUAGCGAAAUUCCUUGUCGGGUAAGUUCCGACCCGCACGAAUGGUGUAACGAUUUGGACGCUGUCUCAACG
This 255-nucleotide ribosomal RNA is filed under the name Borreliella burgdorferi (Lyme disease spirochete). RNAcentral describes it as "partial 23S ribosomal RNA". It matches the Rfam family "Bacterial large subunit ribosomal RNA", at positions 1772 to 2026 of the family's 2925-position model. The record is from RNAcentral. Lineage: Bacteria; Pseudomonadati; Spirochaetota; Spirochaetia; Spirochaetales; Borreliaceae.